CAAGAAUCUUAGGAGAGAGAGAGAAAGAUAAGGGAGCUGCAGGUUCACAUAGUCACCCAGUACCUGCGCUACUAUUACUUUAGUAAUAUUGCAACAUUAAACUCAUCACGAACUCUCACCCUAUAAACCUAUACCUGAGCCAUCAAUACCAUCACUAUACUCUGCUUGUGGAAAGGUGCAAUGGCAGUUCAAAGAAAAACCCAUCUCUUUUUCUUGUCCUCACUGUUCCUUUCUUUAUCUUCAAUCUGCUCCCCCAUUUGUGCUUUCACCAAAGAACAAGAGCUAGAUCGAAUCUCAGCUCUUCCUGGCCAACCAAAAGUCACAUUUUCACAGUUUUCUGGUUAUAUCACCGUCAAUGAGGAACAUGGGCGUGCAUUAUUCUACUGGUUCAUAGAAGCUACUUCAAUUCCUUACAAGAAACCUCUUGUUCUUUGGCUCAAUGGAGGACCAGGUUGUUCCUCAGUGGCAUAUGGAGCUUCAGAGGAAAUUGGACCAUUUCGGAUUGACAGAACUGGUUCAUCUCUUUAUUUAAAUAAGUAUUCAUGGAACACAGAAGCAAAUAUUCUCUUCUUGGAGUCACCUGCUGGUGUGGGAUUCUCAUACACAAAUACAAGCUCUGAUCUGAUUGAUUCUGGUGAUAAAAGAACAGCUGAGGAUGCUCUAGUUUUUCUCAUCAGAUGGUUUUCAAGAUUUCCUCAAUACAAAUAUAGAGAUUUCUACAUUGCUGGAGAAAGUUAUGCAGGUCAUUAUGUUCCUCAACUGGCAAAGAAAAUCCAUGAUUAUUAUAAAGAGGAUUCACAUCCCAUUAUCAAUCUCAAAGGAUUCAUUGUGGGAAAUGCUGUGACAGAUAACUACCACGAUGGUAUUGGAACUGUUACAUUCUGGUGGAGCCAUUCAAUGAUAUCAGACACAACAUAUCGAUCAAUUCUUAACAACUGCAACUUCAAAGAUGAUAAUAAAACAUCAAAAGAAUGUGAUGAUUCUGUGAAUUAUGCCAUAAACCAUGAAUUUGGCUAUAUUGAUCAGUACAGCAUUUAUACACCAGCUUGUAUACAGCUGCAAAAUGUUACUAAUGUAAGGUUUUUAAGACUGAAAAAUACCCUUUUGCGACGAAGGGUUUCUGGUUAUGAUCCUUGCACUGAGCAUUAUGCAGAGAAAUACUAUAACAGAGCUGAUGUGCAGAAGGCAAUGCACGCAAAUGUUACAGGAAUUCCUUACAAAUGGACUGCUUGCAGGUAUUCUUUGUAUACAUAUAUCUUUGUAUAUAUAUUAAUAUUUGAUGCUAUGAUAAGAAAUAAGAAAAUCUUUUCACUGGCCAGUGAUGUGCUGAUCAAGAACUGGAAGGAUUCUGAAUCAUCUAUGCUACCUAUAUACAAGGAGCUAAUGGCAGCUGGUCUAAGAAUCUGGGUUUUCAGGUAAUUUCUAAGCAAAUAUGUUCUAUAUAUAGUACCAAUAUUGCCAUUCAAUAAUAACAUCAAUAAAUUGAUGCUGAAAAUAAUAUAACUUAUCAUUUAUUAAUCAUGUUACUAAUAAUCAGCCAAAAGAAACAAACAUAAUUGUUUCAAGGAAACAAAAGUUAGGUCUAGGCGAGGUAAACUCAACUAAAAUAUAAAAAUAUAUUUCUAAAAUUUGAAAGACAAACUAAAAUAUAAAAAAAAAAUAAAAGAUUUUAAUAAUUUACUUUAAAAUUUCGUUUUAUAAUAUAAUUUCUAAAUUAACAUCAUAAUCAACUAGUGAAUCAAUAUCUUAAUUAUUAGGUAAUUAAACAUCCAGUACCCUGUAUUGAACAGUCCUGCAGGAGCAGAGCAGGACAUAAGUCGUCUAUUUUACAGGGAAUUCUGUGAACAUGUCCUAUCAAAUAAAUGAGCAUGAGUUGGUUUCUUCUUCCUUCUUUUUCAUUGUAAUUUCUAACAUUGUUCUGCCAUUGUAAUUUAAAGGUAGAUGGAGUGUUUGACCUUCUAUGUUGCCUGUGGCCUGGCCGUUUGACCACAGAUCGGAAUCAUUUUCUUACUGUGUUUUCAACUUUGUUGGUUGCUGGAAUAGAAGAUGCAUUAAAGAAUUGAAAUGACCCAAAUGAAUAGUGCAAAUAAUAAAUUUCUGUAUUUUAUAUGCUAAUAACCCUCCAAAAAAAUACUGCACUUGACAAAAAAAAUUUAUAAAUCAAUAUAAUAGAAAAUGCAAAUUAAUAAACAGGGGAAAAAAUCAUUUUAAACCAAAGAGACCAUAUAUGUUGAAGUGAAUUACUCGUCCAUAAUAAUAGGAAAAGUGUAAUCAUACUGCUUCUCCAUGCAGUGGUGACACAGACUCGGUGGUUCCUGUGACUGCCACUAGGUUUUCCCUGAACCACCUCAAUCUCACCGUCAAAACUCGGUGGUAUCCUUGGUACUUAGACAACCAGGUUGGAGGAUGGUCAGAAGUUUACAAUGGGCUAACCUUUGCAACAGUGAGAGGAGCCGGCCAUGAAGUACCACUAUUUCAACCAAAGAGAGCUUUCAUUCUUUUCAGAUCAUUCUUGGCAGGGAAAGAAUUGCCAAAAUCAUAACAUUGGCAUAUUAUUCACCAUUCAGAAACAAACAUGAAACAACAAAAAGAUUUGAGAGUAAAUUGAUUUUUGCUUUAACAAGGUUUCUGGAGCAAUCCAUAAAACCAUGCCCCACCAUAAAAAUGAUGGGUUAAGCAAUUCAUUCAAAGUACAAUUCAUAUUUCUAAGACAA
Molecule: unclassified non-coding RNA, 2714 nt
Filed under: Hevea brasiliensis (rubber tree)
Lineage: Eukaryota; Viridiplantae; Streptophyta; Magnoliopsida; Malpighiales; Euphorbiaceae
Source: RNAcentral